Schistosoma rodhaini is the source of this 48-nucleotide non-coding RNA. The record is from Rfam. Lineage: Eukaryota; Metazoa; Platyhelminthes; Trematoda; Strigeidida; Schistosomatidae.
AUCCAGCUGACGAGUCCCAAAUAGGACGAAGUGACUCGCGUCCUAGAU